UGGAGGGUAAUGGAAAUUUUCUGAAAUUCCAUAGUGGCCAACUUUGUGAAUAUACUAAAAUCUACUGAGUUGUACACUUAAAAUUAAUAAAAUAAGAAAAAUAAGAUUCAAGCCAUACUAUGAACUGUCCUCACCAUUUUCUUCCAAAGAAAUAUGUGCUAUGUGUGCGUGUGUGUGUGUGAGAGAGAUAUGCUAUUUAUAGAGAAACUAAGGCGCCAUGUGAACAGCCGAGCUGCCAUCAACUUGAUCAGCAAUUGCUGGGCACCUGCUUUAGGUAGGGCCAAUACAAUUCAUGUCCCUACAGAAGGUAAAGCAAGAAAGGGCAAAGAACAUUCUCUUCAUCGAGGCGGAGUUCAGGUUAAACACAGAGACAUAUCUAAUAAAAUAAAACAACUAGUGGAAGCUGGGUUGACUUUGACCACUGAUUUAGAAAACUGCAGGAUUAGUAUGAUUACUUGUAUCAGAACUGGCUGUUAACACAGCAAAAAUAUUAGAUCUACUCUGUGCUCACCAUUUCUACGGCUACAUGGAGUAGCCUGCGUUUCCAUGGGCAAAUGGAACACGACAUCAGAAGCCAGAUUUAAGUAAUAAAGACCUACGACAAGUGAUGCUUUUUGUGUUUUUUGCCAAAUAUGAAGAAGCAACGCUUCAGGGUGAGUUUUUUUAACUGGGGAGAGAAAGAAGGCUACCUGAUUUCCCAAUCUUGAGGAAAACACUAUAGUUAGAAAGAGGAGCAGAACACAAAAGAUAUGUAAGAAAGUAAUGACGAGAAUGCACAGGGUGUCAGCAUGAAGACCCUCUCACAGCACAUCAAGAGAUUGUAAUAUGUCUGACCUGUAUUCACAGGUACAGGAGGGGAGAGAGCCUCACCUCAGGCAAUCGUGGUCUUUGGGAAGAAGAAAUGGUAUGAGGUCCAGGCCAGAGAAGGCUCGUGGAGUGGGCAAUGGUGGGAAAGUCUGACCAGCAUUCAACUGAGGCGGAAACUCCCUGACGGAGCUGUGGCGAUGGCCCCGGCUGUGUAACAGAAUAUGAGACAAGGACCCAGCCAGCCCUGACCUGGGAAAUGAAGUCACUGCUGGUUAAAUGGCCCAAGCUGGUGGUUGCCAUGGAAACCAUAGAACUCUUGCUUUCUCAGAACAAUGGGAAGAGACAGGCCCAGCAGUCUGCGUGGGGGAAAGCAGAGCUCAGACGCUCUUGCUUCUAAAGCCCACGUCAGGGUCAUCUUCUCUUCCACCCUGGCUAUAAUAAUCCCUGGACUCCUCCCCACCCGGCCUCUGUGAAGAGGCAGAGUGGGAAACAGAGACUCAGGAAAAGGUCUUUUUGUACCUGGUUUCAUUGACAAAAUGCCAAACACUAACCAGAACCUGGCUAGGCCAAGAACUCUGAAUAAGACUCUUCCCAUAUUCCAAACAGUGAAGAGAAGUUGCUACUGAGUAGAAAUAUAAAUGGCUACCUGGGUAGCAAGGUGGAUGUGUGAACACCUGGAGUUUAGGCCUGUUGGGUAUCCAAUCCGCCUUCAACUGGUAAAAGCAUCCUGAUUUUCCUUUGAGAUAUCACCACUUCCUCAUUCUUGGUCCUUGUGGUUCAGGUGGAGCCGUCCCCAGCCCACAAAAUAACAAGAAUGGGCAUGUGACUCAGAUGCGGCCAGUGAGAGCAUAGUGAUUAGUCCACAAUGCCCAAGCUACAGCAGUGAGGUCAUAGGACUUCGGCUGAAGCAGUAAAAUUGGAGCUGCAGGAGAUGUCUUCCCUGGCUGAAUGGAGAAGCCCAUCUGCAAAGGAAAGAGAUGAGGCCAACUGCAAAGAGAAAAAGAGAGCCACAACGUCAUUCGACUCUUGAUCGAGCUGUACCUGAAGUUACCUUAGAUAUCCCAAAUUACAGGAGCCUAUCAGUGAUCUAUUAGAAGAAAAGUACCUAUGCUUUUCACGAGGUGACGACGUGAGCCUGGAGGCACAGCACACCUUGCCCGUGGGCUCUCCUGCUCCGUGUGCUGGCGGAGGCCACCAGGGAUCGAGACCCCGGAGGGUGAGAGUGUCCGGCCGCUGAGGGCGCUCAGCACCUUUGGCAAGCUCUCCUGUGCUUUCAGAUGUGCUCUGCAUUACCAUGGUUUUUCUUGACUCAAAAGUAUACUGUUUAGAAAAAAGAGACUAGAUUCAGGAGGGAACAUUCGAUAGGACCGAAGCUGCAAAAGCAGUGCAGGAGUGCUUUUGAGCCAAGCAGAAACGUGGACGGGAGCUCUUUGCGAGCUCUCUGUGAGGGAGGGUCUUGGCUUCUAAAACAUACAACUGUUCAGCUUUAAAAUACCAUGAAAAUUAAAAAUACCCUCUAUCUCCAAGCAUAUUCAUGUAAGAGUGUUAACUUUCUUCCUAUAACCUCAAUAACCUCAGGAGCAAAAUGCAUAUAAAGCCUAUUUAAUAGAUCAUAAACAGACUUAAUCUCAAGCUAAAUGCUGUGAUGGAUUUGGUGAGAAUUUCUGGAGCGCCUGCUCUGUGCCAGCACUGGGCAAGCUGCUUACCCACCUUGUCUUCUUGAAUCUUCACAACGGCCCCAGGAGGCAGGAAGCAUUAUCGUCACUUUAUAAAUGAGAAAGCUGAGAUUCAAAAAGAUAAAUAAU
RNAcentral lists this long non-coding RNA (2612 nucleotides) under Equus caballus (horse). RNAcentral describes it as "lncRNA (ENSECAG00000048448.1)". The record is from RNAcentral. Lineage: Eukaryota; Metazoa; Chordata; Mammalia; Perissodactyla; Equidae.